Non-coding RNA from Acanthosepion pharaonis, 110 nucleotides. The record is from the annotation of a GenBank genome assembly. Lineage: Eukaryota; Metazoa; Mollusca; Cephalopoda; Sepiida; Sepiidae.
AUACGGCCAUAUCACAUUGAAACAUCGGUUCCAGUACGAUCGCCGAAGUUGAGCAACGUUGAAACUAGUCAGUACCUAGAUGGGUGACUGCUUGGGAAUACCAGGUGUUC